Megachile rotundata (alfalfa leafcutting bee) is the source of this 282-nucleotide long non-coding RNA. The record is from RefSeq and is a predicted model, not a curated record. NCBI's taxonomy places the organism in Eukaryota, Metazoa, Arthropoda, Insecta, Hymenoptera, Megachilidae.
ACUGAAAACAGAAAUAAUUGCUGAUAAUUGAUUCAAAUUGUUGACAACCAAAUAAAGUAAUAAAUAAAUUACGAACAUGUUUUACUGUGUAUGGAGAAGGAUUCAUAAACGGUCUUAGAUCAAUCAUGUGGAUCUACUACAGGAAAACCAUUAAAUGUUACACAUUUAAGUAGUUCCAAUAUAUGCCCCACAUUUUCUACUGUUUUUAAUGUCACCACUGGAUGACUCAUUAUCUCACUGGCAUAUAUGUUAUUUGAUAACGGUGGGGCUUCCCAUGCUAAU